This 253-nucleotide ribosomal RNA is filed under the name uncultured bacterium. RNAcentral's name for it is "partial 16S ribosomal RNA". It matches the Rfam family "Bacterial small subunit ribosomal RNA", at positions 524 to 776 of the family's 1533-position model. The record is from RNAcentral.
UACAGGGGGUGCAAACGUUGCUCGGAAUUAUUGGGCGUAAAGCGCGCGUAGGCGGCUACUUAAGUCGGAUGUGAAAGCCCUUGGCUCAACUGAGGAAGUGCACCCGAAACUGAGUGGCUAGAGUACGAAAGAGGGUCGCGGAAUUCCCGGUGUAGAGGUGAAAUUCGUAGAUAUCGGGAGGAACACCGGUGGCGAAGGCGGCGACCUGGGUCGAUACUGACGCUGAGGAGCGAAAGCAUGGGUAGCGAACAGG